Mustela lutreola (European mink) is the source of this 1286-nucleotide non-coding RNA. The record is from the annotation of a RefSeq genome assembly. Lineage: Eukaryota; Metazoa; Chordata; Mammalia; Carnivora; Mustelidae.
GUAGAACUGCCUUGUGCAGACAAGGGACCUCCCUCCUUCUCAAACCAUGCUCACGAGAAAACCUCCAUCUGGCGAACCGCCCAGCCCAGCCCUGACUCCACCAUGGACCCCAGGCUCCUCUGCUGGGUGACCCUCUGUCUCCUGGGGCAAGGUCACACAGGACCCGGAGUCUCCCAGUUCCCCAGGCACAGGGUCACAGAGAGGGGCCAAAAUGUAACUCUCGGGUGUGAUCCCAUUUCUGGUCAUACUGUCCUUUAUUGGUACCGACAGACCACAGGGAAAGGCCUGGAGUUUUUGGUUUACUUCCAAAACACGGAUCCAGUGGACAAAUCAGGGAUGACCAAUGAUCGGUUGUCGGUCAAGAGGUCUAAGGGGACCAACUCCACUCUGCAGAUCCAGCGUGCAGAGCAGGGGGACUCGGCUGUGUACCUCUGUGCCAGCAGUCCCACCACAGUGGGGCACCACACCCUCCAUUUUGGGGAGGGGACCCGGCUCACUGUUGUAGAGAAUCUGGAAAAGGUCAAACCUCCCACGGUCACAGUGUUUGAACCGUCAGAAGCAGAGACCUCCCGAACCCAGAAGGCCACACUCGUGUGCCUGGCCACCGGCUUCUACCCCGAUCACGUGGAGCUGAGCUGGUGGGUGAAUGGGAAGGAAGUCCAGAAUGGGGUCAGCACGGACCCUCAGCCCUACAAGGAGCGGCUGGAUGAGAAUGACUCCAGCUACUGCCUGAGCAGCCGGCUGAGGGUGUCCUCUGCCUUCUGGCACAACCCUCGCAACCACUUUCGCUGCCAAGUCCAGUUCCACGGGCUCGGGGACAAUGACGAGUGGCAGAACAGCCAACGGACCAAACCCGUCACCCAGAACAUCAGUGCCGAGGCCUGGGGCAGAGCAGACUGUGGCUUCACUUCGGUGUCCUAUCAGCAGGGCAUCCUGUCUGCCACCAUCCUCUAUGAGAUCCUGCUGGGGAAGGCCACCCUGUACGCUGUGCUGGUCGGUGCCCUGGUGCUGAUGGCCAAGGUCAGGAGAAAGGGUUCCUGAAACUACCUCAGAGGCAGAGGCGGGAGCUUCCAGCUUGCUAUUCCCCAGUAUGGAUUCUCCUUUUUCGACUUCUAGCCAGUGCUUCUCAAGAGCUGUUUUCAUCUCUCCGUUCACCCCAAUAAUUACCCACUAUGUUCCUGAACACCUGGAUGCUGAUGACCCAAAUCUCCCUAACCCAGGGGGACCCCUAGUGUGACUAAAUUGACUGUUGACUGAAUCAAUAAAAAUGAUGUGUUCUGGCUUGA